RNAcentral lists this ribosomal RNA (258 nucleotides) under uncultured Geobacter sp. RNAcentral describes it as "partial 16S ribosomal RNA". It matches the Rfam family "Bacterial small subunit ribosomal RNA", at positions 1128 to 1382 of the family's 1533-position model. The record is from RNAcentral. Lineage: Bacteria; Pseudomonadati; Thermodesulfobacteriota; Desulfuromonadia; Geobacterales; Geobacteraceae.
AGGGUCGACGUCCUGUGGAGACUGCCGGUGGUCAAACCGGAAGGAAGGUGGGGAGUGACGUCAAGUCCUCAUGGCCCUUAUGACCAGGGCUACACACGUGCUACAAUGGCCGGUACAAAGAGUUGCGAUACCGCGAGGUGGAGCCAAUCUCAUAAAGCCGGUCUCAGUUCGGAUUGGAGUCUGCAACUCGACUCCAUGAAGUUGGAAUCGCUAGUAAUCGCGGAUCAGCACGCCGCGGUGAAUACGUUCCCGGGCCUU